UUUUUUUUUUUUUUUUUUUUUUUUGGGGGUGGCUCAAGUUUGAACAUCCCUAGCUUUGCACCCGUUACACAAAGCCGAAAGAGAUUCAUUCCAAGAAAUUUUUGCUAGGUUGGAGUUGAUUUUUCCGCUGUUACUAACAUAUCUUGUGGAAACAAAGUCCGUGAAGGCUGGAGGACCAGUUAUUUUCUAUAUUAGAUUAUCAUGUGGCUAUAACUUACAAGAGAGAUUCACGCUUGGGCAACCUUCAUUUGUUAUAAUUCGACGAUCAAAUGGUUAUAUCUGUGUUCGGAAAUAGGUCAAGAGGUGAGAAGUAUUUUUGGAGUAAAGGUUAAAUUCAUUAAUUUAUUCCACCCUUUCUGUUUUUCAUUUUGGUACUUAAAAGAGUCACACACACACAUAUAUAUAUAUACACACACACAUAGGUCAUACAUAUAUAUAUAUCUAUGACCUAUAUAUGGAUGAGAUACAUUGGGUCUGUUUGGUUUUCAUAAUUUACAAAAAAAAUAAUUCUAAAAUAUUAUUCAACUUGUAUCAUAAAUAUAAUUUUUAACUUUAUUUUUAUUUCAUAAACAUCACAUCAUAGAAAAAUAUUAUAGUGUUCAUUGAAAUAAUUUUUUUCUAAAUAAUCUAAGAGAGAAUUUUAGACAACUAAUUUUUUUUUAUUUUGUAAGUGAGAGGUCUUGAAUUUAGGACCAUCUAUUUACAAUUUCUUCCACCUUAUCACCCAAUCCAACCCUUACCCAGCUCACUACUUAACUAACUCAUUAACAACACUUCAACUUAUUAAAUAACUAAGUAGUACAGUGAUAGCUUUGAGGCGGAAUUUCAAUUUACCAAAUGUUUUCAUUCAUACCAUCCAGGGCACAAUAAAGUCCUAAAAAACUCUCUCAAAUAAUUCAUCUUUGGAAAAACCUUACCGUUGAUAGUACAUAAACAGCUUCGAAACAAUAAGAAUUGCUGUCAAGUAAGACUGCAAACGAGUCAAGCCGUGUCGAGUUUUGGCCUAAUCGAACUGAAUCUUAACUUAUUUUUAUUAAACUUGAACUCGAGCUCGAACUCGACGAGCUAACAAUCUAAAGCUUGAGCUCGAGCUUGACUCGAUUCGAGCCGAGUUCGAGAUCGAAAAAAUAAAAAAUAAUUAUUUUAAUUUUUUAAAAAAUAAAUAAAAUAAUAUAUUUUUUCUUAAUAAAUAAUAAAAUAUUAAGAAUACAUAUGUAAUUUUAUUAUUAAAAUAAAAAAUAUAUAUAUACUAUUAAAAAACAAAUAAUAUAUAUAUAUACACACACACACUCGAGCUAGCAAGCAGACUCGAAAGCUAACAAGCUUAAUAUUUUGAACUCGAGCUGGACUCGAGCUACUUGCGAGCGGCUCGAUUCAUUUGCAACCCUACUGUCAAGUAUAAAACUGUAAAACACCCUAUAAUUCCAAUUUCUAAUCCAAUAUGGAUUAAGUUAAAUGUUUCCCUAACAUUUCCUAUUCUGAGACUUAUUUUCUCCUCCUUGUCUCUAAAAUUCAUCUGGUCAAAAUUUUCUCUAGCUUAGCCAUGGGAGAGAGACUAGACAAAUCUGGUCUCUUCCUAUCCAAGGGAGCCCUCUCUCUAAUUUUUAGUUUUCUUUAUUUAAAUAAAUUCUUUCAUAAGGGCUUUUGGCGGGAUAGUCUUGUUUCCUCCUAAUUAGAGAUUCUUCUCUCAUAAAUUGUUCUAACAAGAGUUUUAUUCUCUCUAACUGAGUUUUUCAUUAUGAGAAUUUUUUUAAUUUUUUUUUGUGAAAUCUGAUAUUUUAUAAGCUUAGUAUCUUAGAUCUAAAUUUUUUUGUUUAUUAUUGUUAGAUUUAAGAUUCUUUUGGAUUUGAACCAGUUUUUAAUUAUAUUUGAAUGUUCAAAAACAUGCGCAGACCUAUUAGAUUACAAUGAUUCAUUUGAAUGAAAGAUGUAUUGGAGUAUCAAUGCUGUCUUUAGUUGUAUUGAUUCUUUAGAUCAGUUAUAUCCAUUGAUUUUUACAUUUAUAUAUAUAUCUGUGUUGUGUUUGAUUUGAUGUAUUUUCCAUUAGUACGGAUUUUUUUAAAAAAAUUAUUCUUUCUAUAUAUAUGAAAAAAAAAAUAGUGGUUUAAGCUUUGCUGAACUCUUGAUUGCGUACUUAUCAAAUAAGUAGCUGUUUCAAAGAAUGACAGUUCAAAAAAAAAAAAAAAAGAGUACGUUGGUGUACUCUGCACUUGAGUGUUCAUGGUACAUGAUACUUGAAGCUUAAUGGAGAAACUAUUUUCCCUGUUUCAAGAUGACAAGAGAGAAAACGAUUGCAGGACAAGCUUUAAUGGAGAAACUAUUUUCCCUGUUUUCAUGAUAACAAGAAAGAAAACGACUGUAGGAAUUUUUAGAGUUGCGGAUUUGUCACUAUAUUAAAAUCAUGGAGGUGAUGAUCAUCCUAUCACAAUAUUGUAUGUCAAUGUGUAAUGACCCUAGAUAUUUUAAAUACCUUUAGCAGAAAUGUAUCUGCUGCGUUUUCUAUUUUAGGAAGUUAGUUAGUAAUUCAAAAGUUAGUUACUCUGUUACUCAUCAAAAAGGCAUGCAUGCAUGUACGCUCAUUCUGUUAAGGGGGCGGUUAGAACACAGAAGGAUCUAGAGGAAGAAUCUUGUAUAAAUAAGCCUAAAAGGGGACGGAAAGGUUAUGCAAUGAGAUACAACAAAUUCAGUUCCUUCUUUCCUUCAUUAUCCCUUCCCUCUCACGUAUCUUUCCUUCCCUAUUUCCUCUGUUCUCUUUCUUUUUCAUCUACCCCCUUAGCUACUCUGAUUAUAAUCAGUGGUACCAUUACAAGUGGUAUCAGAGCUUCCGGUCCUUGGACUAGGAAGCUGAAAUCACUAUAAUCCAAUGGCAGAUGGAACUCGAAUGAAAACUAUGGAAGAACAACUACGCAGGCAAGAUAGCAGACUCCAAGGAAUUCUGGAAUCCCUAGCAGCAGACAAACAAAUUAUGGAAGAUAGGUUGGAUGCAGUAAGCGGGGAGCUGAGCAAUAAAUUAGAUGCGUUCAUGGUGGCCAUUUCUCAGCAGCUUUCCAGUGUGAACCGAGGGAAUUCUGAGAAGGGAUUAUUGAGCUCUCCAGAGGGAAGUCACUCCAGGAACUCUGACAUGGGGACUCGAGAGCAAGGAGAGAAAACUGUCAGGAGCACCUUCCAUGCUAGCACACCUAAAUUAGAAAUUCCAGCGUUCAGGGGAGACAAUCCCCGGGAAUGGAUCAGGAAACUUCGGAGGUAUUUCCAGCUUCUACACAUUCCUUUGGAGCAGUGGAUGGAGCUAACGGAAUUCCAUUUAGAAGGGAAAGCAGAGGUGUGGUAUCAAGGAUUCAAAUCUACUAGAGGUAACAAGGUGGAUUGGAUGGAGUUUUCGGGAGAAUUGUGCAAGCGUUUUGGAGCAUUGGGACAAAUGGAUCCAGUGGAGGAAUUCAAUAAAUUGCAGCUUUCCACCACAGUCUUAGCCUACCAGGAAAAAUUUGAGGAGCUACUCUCUGAGGUAAUGAGUCGAGCACCUCUCCUCCCAGAAAAUUAUUACAUUUCAUGUUUUUUGAGUGGACUACCAGAUGAGUUACGGUCAAUGGUGAAGACUCACGACCCUAAGACUCUAUCCAAAGCAUUCGAGCUGGCCAGAUUGCAAGAGAAUGCCUUUGAAGCUUACCACAAGAAGCACAAACCUCCCCAAAAAUCUGGUUUCGCAGGGAAUACUACACAGACUGCUGCUCAAUAUACCGCGCCUCAUACCAAGCCUGUUAUUGCCAAUGCUGUCAAGAAACAGAAUCCUCAAAGCUUCAGAAAAAUCACACCCGCAGAGCUGCAGUACAGGAGGGAGCACCAUCUUUGCUUUAGGUGCGGGGAGAAGUUUGGUCCAGGACACCAAUGUAAGCAGAAGGAAAUCCAUCUGCUGGUGGCAAUAGACGACAGUCCUGAUGAUCUGGUGGAAGGGGAGAUGAUCGAGUACAAGGGAGCACAAUCAACCAAGGGUAUAGAAAUGGAGAUACAUGCGUUAACAGGGAAAAUGACUUACAACACCAUCAAGCUGCAAGGGAGUUUCAAACGGACACCACUAUCAAUUCUGGUUGAUGGAGGAAGCACUCAUAGCUUUGUCAAAAACUCUGUGGCACGACUCUACCCAGAGCUGGUCCAGUCUAUCAAGCCUUUCAGAGUCAGGGUGGCAAAUGGGGAGUAUUUGACCUGCGACAAGAUGAUCCCAAACAUGAGCUGGACAAUGCAAGGUAAACAGUUCACUCAUGAUAUGUUUGUCAUUAACUUGGAGCCGUAUGAUGUGAUCAUAGGGGUAGACUGGAUGGCAGCACACAGCCCCAUCACAUUCGACUUCAAGCAGCUGAACAUGUCCUUUGAUGAGAAAGGGGAGAGGAUUCUUCUGCAUGGAGAAUCCAAGGAGACUGUUCUCAAACUCCCUGGUGAUAAGGCUGAGAAGGAGGGAUGGAGUACCAGAAUUUGGAAGCAUGCAUGCGGACUGCAAAUGAAGGAGACUCAGGUAAACACUGUCACUCAGCUGGACACUGAUUUUCAACAGUCCUUAGGUGCUCUGCUUAAAGACUACAAAGAUGUAUUUGGUGAACCACGGUCCCUUCCCCCUUCCAGAAACUGUGACCAUCAAAUUCCCCUAGUACCUAAUGUCAAACCUUUCAAGAUAGCACCAUAUAGGUACCCUCACAACCAAAAAAAUGAAAUAGAAAGGCAGGUGAAGGACAUGCUUAGUAGUGGAAUUAUCCAGCUUAGCCAUAGUCCGUUCGCCUCUCCAGUUCUAUUAGUAAAAAAAAAAGAUGGAACUUGGAGAUUUUGUGUUGACUACAGACAACUAAAUGACCUGACUAUCAAGGAUAAAUUCCCAAUACCUAUCAUUGAUGAUUUACUUGAUGAACUGUAUGGAGCCAAGCUCUUUUCUAAAAUAGAUCUAAGAGCUGGAUACCAUCAGGUCAGGAUGAUCAUUGCUGACAUUCCAAAAACAGCUUUCAAAACUCACCUUGGAUUGUAUGAGUUCACUGUUAUGCCCUUUGGUCUUACUAAUGCACCCGCAACCUUUCAAAGCCUGAUGAACCAUGUCUUUGAACCUUACCUGAGGAAGUUUGUGUUAGUAUUCUUUGAUGACAUCCUUGUAUACAGUCCAGACCCAGACACUCAUCUUUUGCACCUCAAAACUGUCCUAGAAACACUCCAAGCUCAUUCUCUUUUUGCCAAGCUUUCCAAAUGCGUCUUUGGACAGUCACAAGUAGAGUAUUUGGGACAUGUUAUCAGUGGAGAUGGAGUGCAGGCAGAUUCUUCAAAAGUCAAGAGCAUGAUGGAUUGGCCUGCCCCUACGUCAGUGAAAGCAUUAAGAGGUUUUUUGGGACUGACGGGGUACUACAGGAGGUUUGUGAGGGGAUAUGGACUUGUUGCCAAGCCACUUACUGAACUCUUGAAGAAGGAAAACUUCCAUUGGAAUGAGCAGGCUGAGCUAGCUUUUCAAAAACUGAAGCAGCUAAUGAGCAGUACACCAGUCCUAACUCUUCCUAAUUUCUCUUUACCUUUUAUCCUAGAAACCGAUGCUAGUCAUAAGGCUAUUGGUGCAGUCCUAAUGCAGCAGGGAAGGCCUAUUGCCUAUCUCAGUCAAGCUCUGGGACUUAAGAACCUGGGACUAUCCAUAUACGAGAAGGAGUUGCUGUCCCUUAUUACAGCUGUUUCCAAGUGGAGACAUUACCUGCUGGGCAACCAUUUCAUCAUAAAGACAGAUCACCAGAGCUUAAAGUACCUACUAGAGCAGAAGAUAACCACUCCCCUGCAGCAAAAGUGGCUUACUAAGUUGCUAGGACUGGACUAUGAAAUACAGUACAAGAGAGGUAAGGAAAAUCUUGUGGCUGAUGCACUGUCCAGGAGAGGCUAUGAAGAAGAUAGCUCUACACACAGUCUCUCAGUCAUGAAACCUGCGUGGCUAGCUGAGGUUCUGGAAAGCUACCGAGAGGAUAGUGCAGUGAUUAAGCUAAUCGAAGCCUUGACAAUUACACCUAACUCUCUUCCAAAUUACUCUUUUGAUAGGGGAUUACUCAGGUAUAAAGGCAGGAUUUACAUUGGAGCGUCAGGGAGCUUGCGACAGAAGCUGAUAACUUGCUUUCAUGACUCGCACCUUGGAGGACACUCAGGCAAUCUGGGAACCUAUCAGAGGUUGAAGGGACCAUUCUUCUGGCCAGGAAUGAAGAGAGAGGUAGAAGGUUGGGUGCAGCAAUGUGAUGUCUGUAAGAGGAGCAAGGUAGAAAAUUGCAAAACACCAGGCCUACUGCAACCACUUCCUGUCCCUGAGCAAGCAUGGCAGCACAUUGCAAUGGACUUCAUUGAAGGAUUACCUAAAUCUCAAGGAUAUGAAGGAAUACUAGUGGUCAUUGAUAGGUUUACCAAAUACUGCCACCUCUUAGCACUACCCUCCAAGUAUACAGCACAAUCAGUAGCUAGCAUGUACUUUGAUAACAUCUACAAGUUGCACGGAUUACCCCUGAGCAUUGUAUCAGACAGGGAUAGGCUGUUUACUAGCAUGUUUUGGCAGGAAUUGUUUGGGAAGCUGGGUACUGAGCUGCACUACUCCACUGCAUACCACCCUCAGACAGAUGGGCAGACAGAAAGGCUGAACAGGUGCGUUGAGACAUACUUGAGGUGUCUUUGUUUCCAACAACCUCACAAAUGGAAGUUCUUACUAGCAGCUGCCGAAUGGUGGUACAAUACCAACCAUCACACAGCCUUGAAAAUGACUCCUUUUCAGGCUCUGUAUGGUUAUCCACCCUCUCAAUUAGGCCUAGAUACCUUAGAGACCCCAGUAGCCGCUGUGGAACAGUGGUUGGGGGAUAGGAGGAAGUGGAAUGAAUUGCUGAGGGGAAAUCUAAUCAAGGCUCAAAAUCGAAUGAAGCAGUUUGCUGACAAGGACAGAAUUGAAAGGAGUUUCCAGGUAGGUGACUGGGUAUACUUGAAAUUGCAGCCUUACAGGCAAACUUCAGUAGCAAUCAGGAAGAAUCUGAAGUUAUCUUCCAAGUACUAUGGGCCGUAUAAGAUCCUUCAAAAGGUUGGAAAUGCAGCCUAUAAGCUAGAGUUACCUGCUGGUUCUUUGAUACAUCCUACCUUCCAUGUUUCCUUGCUCAAACCAUCUGCAACAAAUCGUGUUGUGACUCAGGAGUUACCCUUGACUACUGCUGAGGGGCAGAUUAAAAUUGCCCCGGAAAGUGUACUUGAUACUCGUGAAAUCAUAAGGAGAAAACAGAAGAUGACUCAAGUGUUGAUCAAGUGGGUGAACUUAGGCACGGAAGACUCAACUUGGGAGGAUGUCACAGUAAUACAAUCACAGUUCCCAAAUUUCCAGCUCAAUCCUAGUGACUAGGAUUCUUAAGGGGAAGGUGUUGUAAUGACCCUAGAUAUUUUAAAUACCUUUAGCAGAAAUGUAUCUGCUGCGUUUUCUAUUUUAGGAAGUUAGUUAGUAAUUCAAAAGUUAGUUACUCUGUUACUCAUCAAAAAGGCAUGCAUGCAUGUACGCUCAUUCUGUUAAGGGGGCGGUUAGAACACAGAAGGAUCUAGAGGAAGAAUCUUGUAUAAAUAAGCCUAAAAGGGGACGGAAAGGUUAUGCAAUGAGAUACAACAAAUUCAGUUCCUUCUUUCCUUCAUUAUCCCUUCCCUCUCACGUAUCUUUCCUUCCCUAUUUCCUCUGUUCUCUUUCUUUUUCAUCUACCCCCUUAGCUACUCUGAUUAUAAUCAGUGGUACCAUUACACAAUGUCUCGCAUACCUAGGGGAGUAGCUAAAGCAAUUGACAGUUCAAUUGAACGGUUUAUACGGGAAGCAGUUAUUGAUGCUAAAGGAAACCAUUGGAAGUCUUUUUUUUUUUUUUUUUGUCAAUUAUCACCAUCUACAUCUACUCCUACUUCUAAUCUAGCCUAUAUUAGGGGGUGACCCAAUACGGUCACGGAAAACUGACGGAACUAAACCAUUAUCGGACCAUAUAGACAUGGAUCUAAGCAAAACCACAUUAAAUGGCAACUUUUUGAUAGAAGAUAAGAUUUGAACUUUUAACCUCUCACCCCUAUACUAGGGGAUGACCCAAUACGGUCACGAAAAAUCGAUGGAACUAAACUAUCAUCGGACCAUACAGACAUGGAUCUAAACAAAGCCACGUUAAGUGGCUACUUUUUGAUAGGAGAUAAGAUUUGAACUUUUAACCUCUUACCCUAUACUUAAAGUGGUGGCCAACUCCACUAAAUGAAACACUGGAAGUCGUGGAAGCAAUUAUGUGAUUCAAAAUUCAGAGGAGGAUUGGACCUGCUGUCAGCAGAGGAACAGAAGGGAGAACUACUAUGCAUGGAAUCCUAUGUAUACCCUGUGUACUUUUAGGCCCUAAAAUUUUAGCACGAAUCAAAUGUAUGACAUGUUUCACACAAAUACUUCAAAGAUACUAAACUCACACCCCUCUAUUAUUGUCUAUCGAGAUCUUGCAUAAUUGGUAAUAUUAAUGGUCAAUAUAAGGGGCGGAUUUAAGGUGGGGGCACUGAGAGCACGGCCCCCACUACCUCCUUAAAUUCCUAUAAUACUUAUAUAAUUUUAAUAUAAUUUUAAGUGUGUCCUCAGUGUUUUUUUAGAAAAGAUGUGAAAGAAUGGGUCACAAAAUUUAGUUUAGUUACUUAUAUUGAGAAAAAUAUACUUCGUGAAAUUCAAAAUGAGAAAGUUAUAAACCGUUAUCAAAAUAUGAAAACUCACCGUGAACAAUUGUAAAUAGUUUAGUUUGUUUUUGAAAUAAAAUUAUUAUUACAUUAAUAAUUUUGAGUUUGUCUUUUUAUAUUUUUCAUGGAAUAUACGUAUUAUUUGUACUUGUUGGUGAAUUUAUUUAUUUUUUUACUUAAAAAACUAGAAAAAGAGUAGAUAAAAAAUUUUAGUGUUAUUUUGCCCCCACUAAGAUUUUUUUCUGGCUCCGCCACUGGUCAAUAUUAUUGAUUCAUAGCACGUAUUGCAUAGCAUAAAGAAUACCAUAAUUUUUUGCCCAUUUAAAUAUAUUUACACAAUUAUUAAGGGGUCUAAGUAUGUUGGUUUUAUUUGGGAUAUUAAUGAAACAUUUUAAAGAAUAUACAGAGUGCUAAAUGCUUGUAAUUUUUGCAUCCCGUCAAAGUUAUCAAGCCGGACCUACUCUAUGUUAUCAUGCAUGAAUCAAAUUAAUGGAAUUUAUUGAACACAAUAUUAACUAAUAGAUUUCCUUGUUUUUUUUUCUCCAUAUUUGCUAUUGAUUAAUUUAGGCUAAAAUUAUAUGAUUUUUUAUUAUAGAGUCCAAAAUGGUUAAACAUGAAAGUCUUUUAUCCAAUUAAUUUCUUAUUCUCAUACUCUUGUUAAAUUUAAUUUCUACAUGGUAUUCUAAUGCAUUCUUUUUUCUUUUUCUUUUUUCUAGAAGUCAUCUCAAAAAGAUCCAAAUCUGAAUUAGUCUCCCAAAAGGAAAACAAAUUUCCAAUUUGAAGUCUCCUCUUGAAAGGCAAACCAUAAAGUUUUCCAAACACCAUCGCUAGAUUAUUUUGUUCCAAAUAAACUUAAGAGAAAAAUGCAAUUUUGGUACCUAAACUUUGACACACGAGUGAUUUUAGUCCCCAAAUUUUGGACGAAAACAAAUUUGGUGCCUGAACUUUCAAAUUUUGAGCACAUUAAGUACCCUUGACGAUUUUACCCAAAUUGUUAUCGAAAAAAGCCAUGUGACAGUCACGUGUCCGGCCAAACUGAAAUAAAAAAGGCUAAAAUACAGUUUUGGUACCUAAACUUUGACGCACGAACGGUUUUAAUUCCCAAAUUUUGGACGAAAACAAAUUUGGUACCCGAACUUUCAAAUUUUGAGCACAUUAAGUACCCUUGACGAUUUUUUUCCAAAUUGUUAUAAAAAAAAAGCCAUAUGACAGUCACGUGUCCGGCCACAAUUGUAUAAAAAAAGGCCAAAAAAAUGUCAAAUGCCAUUCUAAUACUAAGUAUUAAAUUUAAGGACUAAUAGCGUAAUAAAAAAAAUCCAAGGACUAAAUAACACCACAUGAGUCAACAAAACCCAAAAACCGAUACAAAUGAAUUCCAAUUCCAGUACAUUAACUAAUUGUGUAUUCCGUCUAUCUUUCACUUUAUACAAAAUCAUAGGGGGACUAUAUGGCUAUUUUGAAAUCUUAAGGGGGUCAUCUAAUGUUACACAAAACUACAAAAAUUUAUAUGUAAUUUGAUCUAUUUUAAUUCAAUUAAACUUUACAUGUUAUCCCUAAAUGAUACCUGACUGCAUUUUAUUCUAUAAUAUAAGGAAAUUGACUGGAAAGAAAAUAUAUUCCUAAACAAUAAUCUCAAAGUUAGCUUUUCCUAAAUAUCAUGGCUAGAAAUUAUAGAAUAUGCAUUCAAAUUAAAAUUAUAGAAAUAAAUGCUCAAAUAAUUCAUAGGUUUGUGAUCUUAUUGUUUUUUAAUACAACAAUGAAGCAAUAAGAGAUUUUAAAAAUGAUAUCUUAUAUUUUAAUUUGUUUCAUGCACAAAUUUAUCUUUAUCAAUAGCCAAGAAGUUUACACUUUACACAAGAGGUAAGGGGUUAGAAUACAAAGCCAAAUAGCUGACUUGAAAAUUUUGUUGCGAGAAAUCCCAUCACAAACUCAUAUCCUAAUUUUCCUUGAUGUUUGGAACAUUUCUUCAAGAAGCCACUAAUCUCCUAAUUCUCCUUGGUGUUUGGAAUGUUCCUUCUAGAAGCUACAUAUAGACGACUAUUUAUCUCAACUUUUUUUAUUAAAUUUGUCGGACAAUGAUUUUUGAAAUUUUAACAUCCUUAUACUAUAUAAGAAUGAGUUUAGGGCUUGAAUUUCAACCGCAAGGAUGAGACUUUUUUGGAAAUGUGAGAGUGUUUGAAGUGCAAUUAGAGUAUUGAAUAUGAGUCAUUAUAACUAAUUUAGUUUUGUUGUAAUUACUUGGAUGUCCUUUUAAACAUUUAAAACUAGGGGUAAGUUUGAUAUGUGCCAUUGUUUGAUAUUCGAUUAAACAUUGGGUACAACUGAAUUCAGCUUGUGUUUUAGUGAAAUUACAUAAAAGCCCUUCUAAUCAUUUAAUUGUAUUAACAUCUAAGUCUUUUAAUUUCUUAAAGUCUUUCUCAUCAGUUAUUUGCAAAGUUAUGAUAUAUAGAUAUUAAGACACAAUUAAUGUCAAUUAGUAGAGAAGUUUGGUUUCUUGGUCGUUAUCAUAGAUGUUAAUUCGGAUGUUGUUACAUUAGCUACUAUUUUUCCCUAUUUUGCAACACCUUUUUCAAUAGAUAUGUUUUCUUUAACCAAUCUACUUUUUGGUUGUAAAAAAUCUGUAAUAUUGCAAGUUGUAUGUGCAAUAAUUUUUUAGUAUUUUAAUUCAAUUGCCCAUGUUAGACAAGCUUGAUAAGGAAGAGACCACAUUUGUUAAUUGUUAUUUAUGGUUUAAAAUAAGUUUAUCAUCAUAAAUUUUCCCAUUUAUAGAUUGCAUCUACUUCUUUUGUUGUUUUAACUAUUAGUUAGGGUAAUUUUCAAAUCGUUUGCUACUUUAUUGACUAUUCCAUUUAGACAAUUUUUCACUUCAUCUGAUUUGCCAAUAUGUUUAACUAUCUACUUAAAACUAUUUGACUACAAAUCUAAAGUAUGUACCUCAUUACUUUUAAUUAUUUUUCUUAAAUUGAAUGGAUUAAGAUGCUUUAGUACUUUUUUGACGUAAUCAUUCCUCUAAAUUAGCAUGUUAGUUGUUGUAUAUCUUUGCAACUAACACAAAACUGAUAUUUCGUGAUUGUAACCCCUAUCGAAAAGGAGAUGCUUUGCUAUAUGUCCUAAAUCAUACAAUAAAUUAUAAUUAAUUGUUUGCUCAAUGUGAAGACCUCGUGAUGAUAUAUGUCCUUAGAAUCAAUAUAAAUUCAAGAAUUUGGCUCGCAAGAAUCAAAAUUCUACUAGCAAUGAUUUCUUCAAAUAUGCUAAUUGUUCAAAUCUCACUUAUAUGACAAGAUAAUGUGGUGGAUUGCCCUCAUAGCAUGAUCAAAUUCAAACUAAAUAACAAAUUUUAAUAUCCUUAAAGUGUAUGAGCAGAUAUAAAUAAGUCUUUUAUUAUACUAGGUUAGAUGCAAAAUAGUUGAUCGUAUCUUAUAAUUAUGUUUUAUUGCAUAUUAUAUUUUUUAACUCAAUAUGUAACUUAUGAUUUUUUUAAUUUAAUAUCACAUAAUAAAAUUAUCAUACUUCAAUUCUUAUACUAGAAAAUGCCAAAUAAUAAUUAUUAACCAUCUUUAAUUAUAAGCACUAAACUCCCACGCAUUGCGUGGGCUUUUCCCCCUAGUAUUCUUAAUACAUUUAACACUAUUCGACUAAUGAUGUGUAAAUAUGCUGUAGUGUUUAUGCCUUUUAAGUUGUCUAUUCACUUUUGUGUUUAUUGAAAUUCCAUUGGUAGAGUUUUGUAUGUCCGCAUUGCUUAAUUUUUGGAGAGUAUGCAUGUUUUUUUUUUUUUUCAGCAUCCUUCUUAAUCCUUAUGGCCUUUUAGGCGCGUGGUUAAAGAAUAUUUUGUAAUUAAUUAGAGUACUGAAGCAUUGUUAGGGUUUAAUUUAUGUAUUAAAAGUUUAACCAUGAGUGAAUUUUAAAUCAGUACUUUUAUUUAUUGUGUAAUUUUUUUUCACUUUGGCUUAUAAUGAAACUACAUGUAUACUCUUGUUGAUUUAAUUUUUUCUUUUUUGUGUAAGUUGGAGGAUUCGAACCCGAGACCUCUCGCUUACACUCCCUCCCCCCGUACCACCCAACCCAUCCCUCCCCCCUUACUCUUGUUGAUUUAAUUUAUAUAAUCUUAUAUUGUUACUUUGAUUUGUAGAAUUCAACAUGGGAAAAUUUUUCAAAAACAUCCUUCACAUUUUGUCAAUUCAAUUUUUUUUUUCAUCUUUUACCUUUAAAAUAGUAACUUUACAUCCCACACAAGAUCAAGUCAGUAAAAUUUGGUUCCAACUUAGAUUUUCGACCACCUUUUACCCUGAAUCCAUCACAUGACCCAUACAUUGUCUUUUCUUAGGGAUUAAAAGAUUAAAUCUCAUUUGUAGUUAAAAAAAAGAUGCUAAUUCAUAUUUAUUUUUGCCCUUAAAAAAGUAGAAUCUGACCCAAACUAUAUUUAUUUUUCUUUAAAAAAGUGGGAUCAAACUCAAUUCAUAUCAAGUUUGUUUCCAAAAAAGUAGGAUUUGACCCUUUUCUAUAUAAAAAAGACUGCAUGUGGGUCAUGCGGUGAUUUCAAGUUAAAAGGUUGUCAAAAAUUUAGGUUGGGAUCAAAUUUUGUUGAUUGAAAUUUGUAAGGGAUAUAAAAUUAACAUUUUAAAAGUAAAGGGCGAAAAAAUUCAUUUGGCGAAAUGUAAGAGACGUUUUAAAUGAUUUUCCUAUUUAACAUUAUAAAGCAACUGCAUUCCAUAUCUAACUAUAUUUUAUGAGGAAGUUUAGUUCCAUAAAAUUCUUUUCCCAACACAAAAUGUCAUCAUCAAUAGUAUACAAAUACCCAUGCUAAUGUGAGAGGGUACUGGAUUGAAUACAUACUGUAAUCCUUAUUAUUUAUGACAAGGGUAUUAUUGGAAAGAGAAAAUUAAAUUACUAAAUUACCAAAUCAUAUUGAUGCUUUUAAUAUAGUAUAUAGAUUUUUUUGCAAGAGAAGGGUGGAAUUUAAAAAAUAAGGAAUGAGUGGGGGAUUAAAACCUGUAACUCCUUGACCCUUAAUUUUAACGAUUAGACUAAGGCCUUUUCGGUCAUGAUAGCUGUUCUAGCAAGUAGCCAAUAGAAGUGGUCAAGAUAUGCUCGAUUUAUGUCUUGGAUUCAAGUUGUCCUUUUCUCCUAUCCGUCUCUUCAAUCCCAUCCCUCCCCUACUUAUUUGAAAAAAAGCUUUCACUACCCUCAUGACUUGCAGCUUUAUCAAUCGCAGAGACAAGAAUACCGCUGAAGAAGUCCCCUACGCCUAUGGUACCAUAGGAAAAAGAGAGGCCGAAACAUCUUAAUUCAGUAGGCACUAGAUCAUAGAAAACUUUCAGCAUUCCUACUUUAAUCAGUACAUGUAAAUCUAUACAUCAGAAUCGUUUUUGAUAUUAUUUGGUUCCCUAUAAAUGUAAGAUUUUGCUAAACAGACAAAUGCAAUUAAACCCACAACACCUAUUCCAGCAAGCAGCCAAUAGAAGUAAUCAACAUGUGCUCGAUUUAAGUUAUCUGAGAACCAACUUUCUCUACUCCCUUGGCUUGUAAUUUUGUCAAUCAUAGAGACCAGAAAGCUGCUCAAGAAAUCGCCUAUGCCUAUGGCCCCCUGGGAAAAAGAGAGGCCUAAACAUCUUAAUUCUGUAGGCACCUGAUCAUAGAAGAAUUCCUGCAUUCCUACGUUAAUCAACACAUCAACGAGUCCAAAUAAUAAAUAUUGAGGCGCCAACCACCAAAAAGUCAUGGGAACUGUUGCAUUAGAAAUGUCGAGGAGACCAAAAUCUCGAGCAGUUUUGAGUCUUUUCUUCUCAAUCACAGCUGCAAUGACCAUGUUCAGGACAGAUAUUGCCAUGCCAAUUCCUAUUCUCUGAAGCAUUGUUAUCCCAUAGGGAUAUCUUGUUAUCCUUCUCGCAAUUGGGAUGAAAAUUCGAUCAUAAAUUAUGCUACAGAACGCUACAGAAAGGGCGAUGAUAAUCCGAAGUGCUGCAGUUGGUAUACUAUAACUUUGCCCUAUUGAUCUGUCAAGUGUUGUAGCUUGCUUAGUAAAUAAUGUGCAGGAUUGAGCAUGCCCAAUUGUAUACGUUAAACAAGUUACCCAUAUUGGAAACAGCCUUAAAACUUCCUUUAUUUCUUUAGUCUUGCUAGAGGUUUCAUUAAUGUUUGUUGAAUCAUCGCCUGCAGGAGGUGAGCCAUCCUUGAGAAACCUGUCCAGAAAAUGCUACAUUAGUAAGUAUGAUCAAAAAACGUGGAUAUUGGCAAGCACCGACCACAUGCAAUGAGUACCGCAAGACAGCAUCAAAGGAAUACGGGAAGGGGUUGCUUGAAUUUGGAACUAGGAUCUGAAUAUGGAGCAACAAUCCAAUGCAAGUUAAAAGUUUAAUCCUUGGUUUUAAAGGGAAUUUACUGCCAAUCUGCUCAAAAUUUUGAUUAUCCUUAUUUUGUCUAGAAAGAUGUAUUUCUAAACAAGAAUUGUUUUGUGUGCCAAAGUUAUGAGUGACACAUUUUUUCAGUGAGAUGGAUGAUACAAUCAUUGGUUGAUAAUUGGGCUCAAUGCAUCGGAUUCGAAAAUAGAUUUAGGGCAAAUUACAUUUUACCGCCCUAUGAUUUAGUGCUUUUGUACAUAAUCCCCUCAUAGUUUCAAAAACUAUAGAUAAUCUCUCAUGAUUUGGAUUAAAGUGUCAAAGUAACCAAAUUUUCAAUCCAUAGUGGAGUCAUCUAAAAUGUCAAAAAUAUCCCUAUAUAAAGUUGAAAAUUUUUUGUCAACCACAUGGGGAUUAUGUGUAUAUUUUGAUAAUCAUAAAGGGUUAUAUGAUAAAGAAUUAAAUCAUAAAGGGGUUAUAUGGUAAAAUAUAAAACUAUAUGGGGUUAGUGCGUUAUGCAUAUUAUGUUUAUAUAUUUUGGUCAUUUCAGCCAUUUUAAUUUUUAAAUAAAGGUAAUUUUGACAUUUUUAAAGAUUCCUUUAGGGCAAAUUAUAUUUUACCCCCCUAUGGUUUGGCCUUUUUUUUUUUACAUAAUCCCCAUAUGAUUUCAAAAGCUAUACAUAACCCCCUCAUGGUUUGGAUUAAAGUGUCAAAGUGACGGAAAUAGUCAUUCAUAACGGAACUUCUAAAAUGUCGAAAUUACCCUUAUAAAUACAUGACACAUUAACCCUGUAUGAUUUUAUAUUUUACCAUAUAACCCCCUUAUGAUUUAAUAUUUUACCAUAUAACCCCCUUAUGGUUUUUAAAAUAUACAUAUAACCCCCCUUGGUUAAUAAAUAAUUUUCAACUUUACAUAAGGGUAUUUUUGACAUUUUAGGUGACUCCGAUAAGAAUGAUCAUUCCCAUCACUUUGACACUUUAAUCCAAACUACGAGGGGGUUAUAUAUAGUUUUUGAAACCAUAGGGGGUUAUGUAAAAAAAGCUAAAUCACAAGGGGUAAAGUGGAAUUUGCCCAUUCCUUUACGAAUGAUCAUCUCAAUCAUUUUGACACUUUAAUCCAAACCAUGAUGUGAGUUAUGUAUAGUUUUUGAAAUCAUAUGGGGAUUAUGUAUAAAAACACUAAACCAUAGGGGGAAAAAUAUAAUUUGCCCAUAGAUUUACAAUAAGGGAACUUGCUUUUCUUUCUGAUGUGCUGUUUUGGAUUCGAGCUUAAAUCAGAUGCCUGCUUCAUAUGUCGAAGAGAAUAAAUCUAUGAGAUCAACUUUUAAUUAGACCAAUAAAAAAAGAAAAAAGAAAAAAAAAUCCUUACUCGCCAUGCAGAAGGCUUUCUUCACGGCUUGAUGAGGGAGCUACAAUGUACAAAGCACUUAUGCUUUUCUUGAAUCCCUUGUCCUUCUUCCCAUAACGGAUUUCUACCUCUUUAUCACCUAUUGUGGCAGGAAAUCGAUACAUUUUGUUUCCCAGUAAAAACAGGAUAAGCCCGACUAUCAC
This 16580-nucleotide long non-coding RNA is filed under the name Coffea arabica (coffee). RNAcentral describes it as "long non-coding RNA (CARA_LNC007076)". Lineage: Eukaryota; Viridiplantae; Streptophyta; Magnoliopsida; Gentianales; Rubiaceae. The record is from RNAcentral.